Molecule: ribosomal RNA, 625 nt
Filed under: Marinobacter sp. TA9
Lineage: Bacteria; Pseudomonadati; Pseudomonadota; Gammaproteobacteria; Pseudomonadales; Marinobacteraceae
Also listed under: 1 other name
Description: bacterial SSU rRNA
Rfam family: Bacterial small subunit ribosomal RNA
Source: RNAcentral
ACCCGGAUUAAUACCGCGUACGCCCUUCGGGGGAAAGCAGGGGAUCUUCGGACCUUGCGCUAUUGGAUGUGCCUAUGUCGGAUUAGCUAGUUGGUGGGGUAAAGGCCUACCAAGGCGACGAUCCGUAGCUGGUCUGAGAGGAUGAUCAGCCACAUCGGGACUGAGACACGGCCCGAACUCCUACGGGAGGCAGCAGUGGGGAAUAUUGGACAAUGGGGGCAACCCUGAUCCAGCCAUGCCGCGUGUGUGAAGAAGGCUUUCGGGUUGUAAAGCACUUUCAGUGAGGAGGAAAACCUUAUGGUUAAUACCCAUGAGGCUUGACGUUACUCACAGAAGAAGCACCGGCUAACUCCGUGCCAGCAGCCGCGGUAAUACGGAGGGUGCAAGCGUUAAUCGGAAUUACUGGGCGUAAAGCGCGCGUAGGUGGUUUGAUAAGCGAGAUGUGAAAGCCCCGGGCUUAACCUGGGAACGGCAUUUCGAACUGUCAGGCUAGAGUAUGGUAGAGGAGUGUGGAAUUUCCUGUGUAGCGGUGAAAUGCGUAGAUAUAGGAAGGAACACCAGUGGCGAAGGCGGCACUCUGGACCAAUACUGACACUGANNGUGCGAAAGCGUGGGGAGCAAACAG